AGAGUUUGAUCAUGGCUCAGAUUGAACGCUGGCGGCAGGCUUAACACAUGCAAGUCGAACGGUAGCGGGGGGAAGCUUGCUUUCUCCCGCGAGAGUGGCGGACGGGGGAGUAAUGCUUGGGGAUCUGGCUUAUGGAGGGGGAUAACGACGGGAAACUGUCGCUAAUACCGCGUAGUGUCGAGAGACGAAAGUGCGGGACCUAAGGGCCGCAUGCCAUAAGAUGAACCCAAGUGGGAUUAGGUAGUUGGUAGGGUAAUGGCCUACCAAGCCUGCGAUCUCUAGCUGGUCUGAGAGGAUGGCCAGCCACACUGGAACUGAGACACGGUCCAGACUCCUACGGGAGGCAGCAGUGGGGAAUAUUGCGCAAUGGGGGGAACCCUGACGCAGCCAUGCCGCGUGAAUGAAGAAGGCCUUCGGGUUGUAAAGUUCUUUCGGUGGUGAGGAAGGCGUGAUGUUGAAUAGGCAUCACGAUUGACGUUAAUCACAGAAGAAGCACCGGCUAACUCCGUGCCAGCAGCCGCGGUAAUACGGAGGGUGCGAGCGUUAAUCGGAAUAACUGGGCGUAAAGGGCACGCAGGCGGUUAUUUAAGUGAGGUGUGAAAUCCCCGGGCUUAACCUGGGAAUUGCAUUUCAGACUGGGUAACUAGAGUACUUUAGGGAGGGGUAGAAUUCCACGUGUAGCGGUGAAAUGCGUAGAGAUGUGGAGGAAUACCGAAGGCGAAGGCAGCCCCUUGGGGAUGUACUGACGCUCAUGUGCGAAAGCGUGGGGAGCAAACAGGAUUAGAUACCCUGGUAGUCCACGCUGUAAACGCUGUCGAUUUGGGGAUUGGGUUUUAUACUUGGUGCCCGAAGCUAACGUGAUAAAUCGACCGCCUGGGGAGUACGGCCGCAAGGUUAAAACUCAAAUGAAUUGACGGGGGCCCGCACAAGCGGUGGAGCAUGUGGUUUAAUUCGAUGCAACGCGAAGAACCUUACCUACUCUUGACAUCCUAAGAAGAACUCAGAGAUGAGUUUGUGCCUUCGGGAGCUUAGAGACAGGUGCUGCAUGGCUGUCGUCAGCUCGUGUUGUGAAAUGUUGGGUUAAGUCCCGCAACGAGCGCAACCCUUAUCCUUUGUUGCCAGCG
RNAcentral lists this ribosomal RNA (1124 nucleotides) under Haemophilus massiliensis. Its description in RNAcentral is "bacterial SSU rRNA". It matches the Rfam family "Bacterial small subunit ribosomal RNA", at positions 8 to 1123 of the family's 1533-position model. The record is from RNAcentral. Lineage: Bacteria; Pseudomonadati; Pseudomonadota; Gammaproteobacteria; Pasteurellales; Pasteurellaceae.